Non-coding RNA from Lenzites betulinus, 82 nucleotides. NCBI's taxonomy places the organism in Eukaryota, Fungi, Basidiomycota, Agaricomycetes, Polyporales, Polyporaceae. The record is from the annotation of a GenBank genome assembly.
UCUCUGUUAGUAUAUCGGUUAGUACACGCGCCUGUCAUUUGCCUGGCCGCGCGAAAGCGGGGUUCGACUCCCCGACAGAGAG